UUUAAAUAAUAAUACGAGCUCGUGUGCUUUAGCUGAUCAAGCGCCUCAAAAGAUCAAUCGAAUAGAUCGCGCAGCAUGUUUCAAGGUUUUAUGGACAGCGAACGGAAAUGAUCAAUCUUGAAGUUGAUAGAAAACUUUUAAGGAAAUUUAAAUCAAAAUAGGUUAAUGCCACUAUUGAUUCUCAAAAAAUUAUGGACUUUGAAUAAAAUGUUAGCAAUGCCUUUAAUUUUGAUUGUAACUUGCAUAAAAUUAAUAAACGAUUUUAUUUCCAUCUUUAAGA
Long non-coding RNA from Drosophila virilis, 280 nucleotides. RefSeq lists it as uncharacterized. Lineage: Eukaryota; Metazoa; Arthropoda; Insecta; Diptera; Drosophilidae. The record is from RefSeq and is a predicted model, not a curated record.